This 553-nucleotide ribosomal RNA is filed under the name Halorubrum distributum JCM 13561. Its description in RNAcentral is "bacterial LSU rRNA". It matches the Rfam family "Archaeal large subunit ribosomal RNA", at positions 1 to 580 of the family's 2987-position model. The record is from RNAcentral. Lineage: Archaea; Methanobacteriati; Methanobacteriota; Halobacteria; Halobacteriales; Haloferacaceae.
UGGCUACUGUGCCAGCUGGUGAAUGGCUCGGCUCGAGAGCCGACGACGGACGUGCCAAGCUGCGAAAAGCUCGUGGGACCCGCAUGGAGGGAAAGAACACGAGAUCUCCCAAUCGGAAUCCGUUCAACAAUUGCCACGCGCAAUAGGGAACGCCCUGAAUUGAAACAUCUCAGUAAGGGCAGGAAAAGAACGCAACAGCGAUGUCGUCAGUAACCGCGAGUAAACGCGACACAGCCCAAACCGAAGGUCUUCGGACCAAUGUGGUGUUCGGGUUGACAACCAAAUCUCGACACUCUCUCAGAAGUCUCCUGGAACGGAGCGUGAAACAGGGUGACAACCCCGUAUGAGAGAGCAGUACGGAUGGCGUCAAAUCCAGAGUAGCAGGGGUCGGAUAUCCUCUGUGAACAUCUCAGGCAUCCCCUGAGAAGGCUAAACACUCCUCGAGACCGAUAGCGAACAAGUAGCGUGAGCGAACGCUGAAAAGCACCCCGAGAAGGGCGGUGCAAUAGGGCCUGAAAUCAGCUGGCGAUCGAGCGACAGGGCGUACAAGGCG